AACGAACGCUGGCGGCAUGCCUAACACAUGCAAGUCGAACGAGACCUUCGGGUCUUGUGGCGCACGGGUUCGUAACGCGUGGGAACCUGCCCUUAGGUUCGGAAUAACUCCCCGAAAUGGGUGCUAAUACCGGUUAAUGUCUUCGGACCAAAGAUUUAUCGCCUUUGGUUGGGCCCGCGUUGGAUUAGCUUGUUGGUAGGGUAAAAGCCUACCAAGGCGACGAUACAUAGCUGGUCUGAGAGGAUGAUCGGCCACACUGGGACUGAGACACGGCCCAGACUCCUACGGGAGGAAGCAGUGGGGAAUAGUGGACAAUGGGCGAAAGCAUGAAAAAGCAAUGCCGCGUGAGUGAUGAAGGCAUUAGGGUAGUAAAGCUCUAUUACCCGGGAUGAUAAUGACAGUACCGGGAGAAUAAGCACCGGCUAACUCCGUG
Molecule: ribosomal RNA, 433 nt
Filed under: uncultured bacterium
Lineage: Bacteria
Description: partial 16S ribosomal RNA
Rfam family: Bacterial small subunit ribosomal RNA
Source: RNAcentral